AUUGAACGCUGGCGGCAGGCCUAACACAUGCAAGUCGAGCGAGCGGCGGACGGGUGAGUAAUGUCUGGGAAACUGCCUGAUGGAGGGGGAUAACUACUGGAAACGGUAGCUAAUACCGCAUACCAUCAGAUGUGCCCAGAUGGGAUUAGCUAGUAGGUGGGGUAACGGCUCCCCUUGGCGACGAUCCCUAGCUGGUCUGAGAGGAUGACCAGCCACAAGGGAACUGAGACAAGGUCCAGACUCCUACGGGAGGCAUCCGUGGGUAAUAUUGCACAAGUGGCGCAAGCCUGAUGCAGCCAUGCCGCGUGUGUGAAGAAGGCCUGCGGGUUGUAAAGCACUGUCAGCGGGGAGGCGUUACCCGCAGAAGAAGCACCGGCUAACUCCGUGCCAGCAGCCGCGGUAAUAC
This 406-nucleotide ribosomal RNA is filed under the name uncultured bacterium. Its description in RNAcentral is "partial 16S ribosomal RNA". It matches the Rfam family "Bacterial small subunit ribosomal RNA", at positions 30 to 526 of the family's 1533-position model. The record is from RNAcentral.